Molecule: ribosomal RNA, 245 nt
Filed under: uncultured bacterium
Lineage: Bacteria
Description: partial 16S ribosomal RNA
Rfam family: Bacterial small subunit ribosomal RNA
Source: RNAcentral
UACGUAGGUGGCUAGCGUUACUCGGAAUUACUAGGUGUAAAGCGCAGGUAGGUGGUUUGAUAAGUUGAUGGUGAAAGCUCCGAUAAAAUCGGAGAUGCCCUUCAAUACUGUCGAACUUGAGUAUAGAAUGGGGAACCAGAAUUCCCGGUGUAGCGGUGAAAUGCGUAAAUAUCGGGAGGAAUACCGAUGGCGAAGGCGGGUUCCUGGGCUAUUACUGACACUGAGCUGCGAAGACGUGGGGAGCA